RNAcentral lists this ribosomal RNA (425 nucleotides) under uncultured bacterium. RNAcentral describes it as "partial 16S ribosomal RNA". It matches the Rfam family "Bacterial small subunit ribosomal RNA", at positions 354 to 796 of the family's 1533-position model. The record is from RNAcentral.
GUGGGGAAUCUUAGACAAUGGGCGCAAGCCUGAUCUAGCCAUGCCGCGUGAGCGAUGAAGGCCUUAGGGUUGUAAAGCUCUUUCGUGGGGGAAGAUAAUGACUGUACCCCAAGAAGAAGCCCCGGCUAACUCCGUGCCAGCAGCCGCGGUAAUACGGAGGGGGCUAGCGUUGUUCGGAAUUACUGGGCGUAAAGCGCACGUAGGUGGACUGGAAAGUCAGGGGUGAAAUCCCGGGGCUCAACCCCGGAACUGCCUUUGAAACUCCCAGUCUUGAGUUCGAGAGAGGUGAGUGGAAUUCCGAGUGUAGAGGUGAAAUUCGUAGAUAUUCGGAGGAACACCAGUGGCGAAGGCGGCUCACUGGCUCGAAACUGACGCUGAGGUGCGAAAGCGUGGGGAGCAAACAGGAUUAGAAACCCCAGUAGUCC